ACAACAGCCCUGCAGACUAGAAUUCUGUAUUUAUCCACAGGGUAGAUACAGCAUGAGCAGCAAUAAGACAAGCUCCGUUCUUGUCCUAAAUCGCCAGCCUGAGGUCACCCACAUUUUGGUUUGAGAGGGGAGAUAAUUUUGCAUGAACAUUUAGCCUUUGACCUCU
RNAcentral lists this small RNA (166 nucleotides) under Sphenodon punctatus (tuatara). RNAcentral describes it as "TUC338 (ENSSPUG00000002058.1)". The record is from RNAcentral. Lineage: Eukaryota; Metazoa; Chordata; Lepidosauria; Sphenodontia; Sphenodontidae.